UACGUAGGGAGCAAGCGUUGUCCGGAAUCAUUGGGCGUAAAGCGCGCGUAGGUGGUCAUGUAAGUCCGCUGUGAAAGUCAAAGGCUCAACCUUUGAAAGCCGGUGGAUACUGCAUGACUAGAGUACGGAAGAGGCGAGUGGAAUUCCUGGUGUAGCGGUGGAAUGUGCAGAUAUCAGGAGGAACACCAAUAGCGAAGGCAGCUCGCUGGGACGUUACUGACACUGAGGCGCGAAAGCGUGGGGAGCGAACAGG
RNAcentral lists this ribosomal RNA (253 nucleotides) under uncultured bacterium. Its description in RNAcentral is "partial 16S ribosomal RNA". It matches the Rfam family "Bacterial small subunit ribosomal RNA", at positions 524 to 776 of the family's 1533-position model. The record is from RNAcentral.